GUCCACGCCGUAAACGAUGAAUGCUAGGUGUAGGAGGUAUCGACCCCUCCUGUGCCGGAGUUAACGCAAUAAGCAUUCCGCCUGGGGAGUACGGCCGCAAGGCUGAAAACUCAAAGGAAUUGACGGGGGCCCGCACAAGCGGUGGAGUAUGUGGUUUAAUUCGACGCAACGCGAAGAACCUUACCAGGGCUUGACAUUGAGUGAAAGGGCUAGAGAUAGUUCCCUCUCUUCGGAGACACGAAAACAGGUGGUGCAUGGCUGUCGU
RNAcentral lists this ribosomal RNA (265 nucleotides) under uncultured bacterium. RNAcentral's name for it is "partial 16S ribosomal RNA". It matches the Rfam family "Bacterial small subunit ribosomal RNA", at positions 793 to 1055 of the family's 1533-position model. The record is from RNAcentral.